AUGACAGCCCAUGCCAGCCAGUGCCAGGUUUUUGCAGCUAAUGUCACACCUUGCCAGCUCGUGCGGAACCUUGCCACACCUUGCCAGCCCAUGCCAGACCAUGCCAGCCGUCGCAAGCACAUGCCAAACCUUGCCCACCUUGCCAGCCCAUGCCAGCCGUCGCAAGCACAUGCCAGACAUUGCCCACCUUGCCAGCCCAUGCCAGACCAUGCCAGCCCUUGCCGGUCCUUGUUAGCCCUUGAAAACCCUUGCCAGUCCAUGCCACACCUUGCCCGCCCAUGCCAGCCCAUGCCAGCCCAUGCCACAGCCUCCAAGCCCAUGCCACACCUUGCCAGCCCCUGCAAGCCCCUGCAAGCCCAUGCCAAAGCUUGCCAGCCAGCGCCAGACCUUGCAAUCCCUUGCCAGCCCUUGAAAACCCUGGCCAGCCCAUUCAACAACUUGCUAGACCUUGCAAGACUUAGCCGGACCUUGCCAGGCCUUGCCAGCACAUGCCAGACCUUGCCAAGACUUGCCAGCCCAUGCCACACUCGCCAGACCUUGCCAGCCCAUGCCACACUUUCCCAUACCUUGGUUGCCCAUGCCAGAACUUGCCACCCCUUGUCAGCCCAUGCCACACUUUGCCAGACUGUAGCAGCCAGUUCCCACCUGUCAAAACUACUAGCAAAAGUUUACGGAACUUUGUGUGAAAGAGUUAAGUUCCUUAACCGUAUCUCUGUGUGGACAAGGCCUUGGCACUCCAUGCCUGCUAAUGCCGGCCCAGUCCAGCCCGUGCCGUGCCACUCCUGGCUAGACCUUGGUAGCCCCUGCAAGUACAUGCGAGCCCAUGCCUGACCUUGCGAGCCCUUGCCAGGCCUUGCCGGGCCUUGCAAGCCCUUGCUCGCCCUUGCCAGCCCAUAUGUCAAAAUUUGCCAGCCCUUGUUAGUCCUUGCCGGCCCUUCUCAGCCCAUCCCAGCCCUUGUCAGCCCUCGUCAGGCCUUGCAAGCCCAUGCCACCCCAUGCCAGACUCUACCAGCCCAUGCCAGCCAAUGCCGACCCAUGCCAGCCCACGUCAGACCUUGCCAGACCUUGUCAGCCCAUGCCUGCCCUUCUAGCCCAUGCCGGCCCACGCCAGACUUUGCAAGCUCAUGUGAGCCCAUGCCACACCUUGCCAGACCAUGCAAGCCCAUGCCAGACCUUGUCAGAACCUACCGGUCCUUGCAAGCCCUUGCCAGCCCAUGCGAGCCCAUGCAAGGCCAUGCCAGCUCAUGCAAGCCUAUGCCGGCCUUUGCCAACCCUUGCCAUCCUACGCCAUACCGUGGCAGACCUUGCCAGUCCUUGCUCGCCUUUGUCAGCCUUUAGCAGCCCUUCCCAGCCUAGCUAGACCUAACAAGACCUUGCCAGCCCAUGGCAGACCUCACCAGGACUUGCCAGCUAAUGCCACACUUUGCCAGUUCUUGCGAGCCCUUGCCAACCCCCUUACCAGCCCUUUCCGGCCCAUUUCACACCUUGCCAGCCCUUGCUAGCUCUAGCCAUCCGUGCCAGCCGAUGUCAGACCAUGCCAGACCUUCUCAACCGUUGCCAGACCAUGCCAGCCAUUACCGCACCUUACCAGACCUUGAAAGCCCAUGCCAGCCAAUCCCAGACCUUGCCAGCCCAUGCCAGACCUUGUCACACCUUGUCGGCCCUUGCCAGAACCUACCGGUCCUUGCACGCCCUUGGCAGCCCAUGCCAGCUCAUGCAUGCCCAUGCCAGCCCAUGCCAGUCCAUGCCGGCCUUUGCCAAUCCUUGCCAUCCCACGCCAUACUUUGGCAGACCUUGCCAGUCCUUGCUCGCCUUUGUUAGCCUUUAGCAGCCCUUCCCAGACUAGCCAGACCUAACCAGACCUUGCCAGCCCAUGCCAGCCCAUGCCAGCCCAUGCCAGACCAUUGCAGACCUUGCCGGUCCUUGCCUGCCCUUCUAGCCCAUGCCAGCCCACGCCAGACUUUGCAAGCUCAUGUGAGCCCAUGCCGUACCUUGCCAGACCAUGCAAGCCCAUGCCAGACCUUGUCAGAACCUACCGGUCCUUGCAAGCCCUUGCCAGCCCAUGCGAGCCCAUGCAAGGCCAUGCCAGCCCAUGCAAGCCUAUGCCGGCCUUUGCCAACCCUUGCCAUCCUACGCCAUACCGUGGCAGACCUUGCCAGUCCUUGCUCGCCUUUGUCAGCCUUUAGCAGCCCUUCCCAGCCUAGCUAGACCUAAUAAGACCUUGCCAGCCCAUGUCAGACCUCACCAGGACUUGCCAGCUAAUGCCACACUUUGCCAGUUCUUGCGAGCCCUUGCCAACCCCCUUACCAGCCCUUUCCGGCCCAUGCCACACCUUGCCAGCCCUUGCUACCUCUAGCCAUCCUUGCCAGCCGAUGUCAGACCAUGCCAGACCUUCUCAACCGUUGCCAGACCAUGCCAGCCAUUACCGCACCUUACCAGACCUUGAAAGCCCAUGCCAGCCAAUCCCAGACCUUGCCAGCCCAUGCCAGACCUUGUCACACCUUGUCGGCCCUUGCCAGAACCUACCGGUCCUUGCAAGCCCUUGCCAGCCCAUGCCAGCUCAUGCAUGCCCAUGCCAGCCCAUGCCAGCCCAUGCCGGCCUUUGCCAACCCUUGCCAUCCCACGCCAUACUUUGGCAGACCUUGCCAGUCCUUGCUCGCCUUUGUCAGCCUUUAGCAGCCCUUCCCAGACUAGCCAGACCUAACCAGACCUUGCCAGCCCAUGCCAGAUUUCACCAAUACUUGCCAGCUAAUGCCACACUUUGCCAGUUCUUGCGAGCCCUUGCCAACCCCUUUACUAGCCCUUUCCUGCCCAUGCCACACCUUGCCAGCCCUUGCCGGCCCAUGGCAGCCCUUCCUAGUUCUAGCCAUCCCUUGCCAGACCUUGUCAGCCCUUGCCAGACCAUGCAAGCCCGAGCCAGCUCAUACCCGCCCAUCCCAGACCUUGCCAGCC
This 2952-nucleotide long non-coding RNA is filed under the name Bemisia tabaci. RNAcentral describes it as "lncRNA ENSSSA1NGG000452". The record is from RNAcentral. Lineage: Eukaryota; Metazoa; Arthropoda; Insecta; Hemiptera; Aleyrodidae.